RNAcentral lists this ribosomal RNA (250 nucleotides) under uncultured prokaryote. Its description in RNAcentral is "partial 16S ribosomal RNA". It matches the Rfam family "Bacterial small subunit ribosomal RNA", at positions 524 to 774 of the family's 1533-position model. The record is from RNAcentral.
UACGUAGGGAGCGAGCGUUAUCCGGAUUUAUUGGGCGUAAAGGGUGCGUAGGCGGGUUGUUAAGUUCAUGGUGAAAAUGCGAGGCUCAACCUCGUAUGGCUAUGGAUACUGGCAACCUAGAGUAUGGUAGAGGUGAAUGGAACUCCAUGUGUAGCGGUAAAAUGCGUAAAUAUAUGGAAGAACACCAGUGGCGAAGGCGGUUCACUAGGCCAAGACUGACGCUGAGGCACGAAAGCGUGGGGAGCAAACA